Molecule: ribosomal RNA, 255 nt
Filed under: uncultured bacterium
Lineage: Bacteria
Description: partial 16S ribosomal RNA
Rfam family: Bacterial small subunit ribosomal RNA
Source: RNAcentral
GACAGAGGUGCCAAGCGUUAGGCGGAAUCACUGGGCUUAAAGCGUGUGUAGGCGGCCCGUUAAGUACCUUGUGAAAUCCCACGGCUCAACCGUGGAACUGCUGGGUAUACUGGCGGGCUUGGGCCACUCAGGGGCAGACGGAACAGGCGGUGGAGCGGUGAAAUGCGUAGAUAUCGCCUGGAACGCCGAAGGUGAAAACAGUCUGCGGGGGGUGUGCCGGACGCUGAGACACGAAAGCCAGGGGAGCGAACGGGG